GAUUCUGUAGCUCAGCUGGAUAGAGCAACGGCCUUCUAAGCCGUGUGUCCGGGGUUCGAAUCCCCGCAGGAUCA
RNAcentral lists this transfer RNA (74 nucleotides) under Clostridium sp. Its description in RNAcentral is "tRNA-Arg". It matches the Rfam family "tRNA". Rfam says of the family: Transfer RNA (tRNA) molecules are approximately 80 nucleotides in length. Their secondary structure includes four short double-helical elements and three loops (D, anti-codon, and T loops). Further hydrogen bonds mediate the characteristic L-shaped molecular structure. tRNAs have two regions of fundamental functional importance: the anti-codon, which is responsible for specific mRNA codon recognition, and the 3' end, to which the tRNAs corresponding amino acid is attached (by aminoacyl-tRNA synthetases). tRNAs cope with the degeneracy of the genetic code in two manners: having more than one tRNA (with a specific anti-codon) for a particular amino acid; and 'wobble' base-pairing, i.e. permitting non-standard base-pairing at the 3rd anti-codon position. RNAcentral also lists the same sequence under 1 other name. The record is from RNAcentral. Lineage: Bacteria; Bacillati; Bacillota; Clostridia; Eubacteriales; Clostridiaceae.